UACGGAGGGGGCUAGCGUUGUUCGGAAUUACUGGGCGUAAAGCGCGCGUAGGUGGUGUGUUAAGUCUGCCGGUCAAAUGCCGAGGCUCAACCUCGAGCACGCCGGGGGAUACUGGCACGCUGGAGACACGUAGAGGCAAGCGGAAUUCCGGGUGUAGCGGUGGAAUGCGUAGAGAUCGGGAGGAACACCAGUGGCGAAGGCGGCUACCUGGACCAGCACUGACACUGAGGCACGAAAAGCGUGGGGAGCAAACAGG
Molecule: ribosomal RNA, 256 nt
Filed under: uncultured bacterium
Lineage: Bacteria
Description: partial 16S ribosomal RNA
Rfam family: Bacterial small subunit ribosomal RNA
Source: RNAcentral